GGGCUAUGAUGAUGAAUAGCACUUCUGUGUUUGUUGGUCAAUCACAAUCAUCAUUAAGAUGAAAAUAUGUGCUUCUGAGCUC
Molecule: small nucleolar RNA, 82 nt
Filed under: Lupinus angustifolius (narrow-leaved blue lupine)
Lineage: Eukaryota; Viridiplantae; Streptophyta; Magnoliopsida; Fabales; Fabaceae
Description: small nucleolar RNA snoR114
Rfam family: small nucleolar RNA snoR114
Source: Rfam by way of RNAcentral